CCAGGCUUUUAUAAACUUAUGUUUUCAUGCCAUCAAUUGAUCACGUUGAACACGGCUGAGCUCCACCUGUCACUGUCAUGCCGCCAAAGGGAGGGAGUUGCAACAGGGAAAAUAUUUCAUUCACUGGGAGCAGAAGGAAUCAGAAUGCUCUGGAUUAUUCUCUGUUAUGCUAUUAUAUAAAAUUUAAUUUAACCUGAAACAAAAAUGACAAUCAACAAUGACAAGCUACCCCUGCUGAAAAGCAGCACUGAAGCUGCUGGAGGGAUGAGCUGGCUGAAGGGGAGGCAUCAGCAGAGAAGGGAUUCUGUUAAUGGAAGGAAGAGUGAAAGAGAAGGAAGCUCAGGAAGGUCUCAUAGGUUCACAGAGAAGGUAUGUAAGAUUAAGAACAAAAAUAAUUUCAGACUGUUUCUUUCUUUGACUGCUGCUGAAUGUAUGGCAUGUGGGACAAACCGGUGCCUGGCUUAACUACAGAAAAUUGAUAGCAGCUGUACUUCUGUGGGGAUUAGAAGGAACUGCUUCCUGACUCACAGGUCUGUGUAAAAUAUAUCCAUGCACAACUUGGCUUAAUGUAUUCUCCAACAGAUAAAGCUACCAAGUUAAGGAACCCAAGUGUUUCUUUUCAUUUACCACAAACACCAUCAUUUGUUAUUCUUGUCAAUUCUUUUAUUGGUUUUCAUCCUAAAGACUAGCACAUUUACAGCAUACAUGGAUUGGAUGAACUAGAAUAUAUAAAACAGUAGCCAUAUGAUAUAUUAAUACUGCCCAAAACCAAAUAAAUAAAAAUAUUUCAAUGCACAAA
Long non-coding RNA from Neopsephotus bourkii (Bourke's parrot), 799 nucleotides. RefSeq lists it as uncharacterized. Lineage: Eukaryota; Metazoa; Chordata; Aves; Psittaciformes; Psittacidae. The transcript is spliced from 2 exons. The record is from RefSeq and is a predicted model, not a curated record.